Molecule: transfer RNA, 77 nt
Filed under: Candidatus Omnitrophota bacterium
Lineage: Bacteria; Pseudomonadati; Candidatus Omnitrophota
Description: tRNA-Arg
Rfam family: tRNA
About the family: Transfer RNA (tRNA) molecules are approximately 80 nucleotides in length. Their secondary structure includes four short double-helical elements and three loops (D, anti-codon, and T loops).
Source: RNAcentral
GUCCCUGUAGCUCAGUUGGAUAGAGCAACUGCCUUCUAAGCAGUGGGCCGGGUGUUCGAAUCGCCCCAGGGACGCCA